UGGGGAAUAUUGGACAAUGGGCGAAAGCCUGAUCCAGCCAUGCCGCGUGUGUGAAGAAGGUCUUCGGAUUGUAAAGCACUUUAAGUUGGGAGGAAGGGCAGUAAGCGAAUACCUUGCUGUUUUGACGUUACCGACAGAAUAAGCACCGGCUAACUCUGUGCCAGCAGCCGCGGUAAUACAGAGGGUGCAAGCGUUAAUCGGAAUUACUGGGCGUAAAGCGCGCGUAGGUGGUUCGUUAAGUUGAAUGUGAAAGCCCCGGGCUCAAGCUGGGAACUGCAUCCAAAACUGGCGAGCUAGAGUAGGGCAGAGGGUGGUGGAAUUUCCUGUGUAGCGGUGAAAUGCGUAGAUAUAGGAAGGAACACCAGUGGCGAAGGCGACCACCUGGGCUCAUACUGACACUGAGGUGCGAAAGCGUGGGGAGCAAACAGG
Molecule: ribosomal RNA, 429 nt
Filed under: Pseudomonadota bacterium
Lineage: Bacteria; Pseudomonadati; Pseudomonadota
Description: Proteobacteria bacterium partial 16S ribosomal RNA
Rfam family: Bacterial small subunit ribosomal RNA
Source: RNAcentral